UACGGGGGGAGCAAGCGUUGUUCGGAUUUACUGGGCGUAAAGGGCGCGUAGGCGGCGCAACAAGUCACUUGUGAAAUCUCCGGGCUUAACUCGGAGCGGCCAAGUGAUACUGUCGUGCUAGAGUGCGGAAGGGGCUACUGGAAUUCUCGGUGUAGCGGUGAAAUGCGUAGAUAUCGGGAAGAACACCAACGGCGAAAGCACUCCGCUGGGCCGAAAACUGACACUGACAGACGAGAGCUAGGGGAGCGAAUGGG
This 254-nucleotide ribosomal RNA is filed under the name uncultured prokaryote. RNAcentral's name for it is "partial 16S ribosomal RNA". It matches the Rfam family "Bacterial small subunit ribosomal RNA", at positions 524 to 776 of the family's 1533-position model. The record is from RNAcentral.